Molecule: ribosomal RNA, 916 nt
Filed under: Bacteroides thetaiotaomicron
Lineage: Bacteria; Pseudomonadati; Bacteroidota; Bacteroidia; Bacteroidales; Bacteroidaceae
Description: bacterial SSU rRNA
Rfam family: Bacterial small subunit ribosomal RNA
Source: RNAcentral
GAGCGUAUCCGGGAUUUAUUGGGUUAAAGGGAGCGUAGGUGGACAGUUAAGUCAGUGUGAAAAGUUUGCGGCUCAACCGUAAAAUUGCAGUUGAUACUGGCUGUCUUGAGUACAGUAGAGGUGGGCGGAAUUCGUGGUGUAGCGGUGAAAUGCUUAGAUAUCACGAAGAACUCCGAUUGCGAAGGCAGCUCACUGGACUGCAACUGACACUGAUGCUCGAAAGUGUGGGUAUCAAACAGGAUUAGAUACCCUGGUAGUCCACACAGUAAACGAUGAAUACUCGCUGUUUGCGAUAUACAGUAAGCGGCCAAGCGAAAGCAUUAAGUAUUCCACCUGGGGAGUACGCCGGCAACGGUGAAACUCAAAGGAAUUGACGGGGGCCCGCACAAGCGGAGGAACAUGUGGUUUAAUUCGAUGAUACGCGAGGAACCUUACCCGGGCUUAAAUUGCAUUUGAAUAUAUUGGAAACAGUAUAGCCGUAAGGCAAAUGUGAAGGUGCUGCAUGGUUGUCGUCAGCUCGUGCCGUGAGGUGUCGGCUUAAGUGCCAUAACGAGCGCAACCCUUAUCUUUAGUUACUAACAGGUCAUGCUGAGGACUCUAGAGAGACUGCCGUCGUAAGAUGUGAGGAAGGUGGGGAUGACGUCAAAUCAGCACGGCCCUUACGUCCGGGGCUACACACGUGUUACAAUGGGGGGUACAGAAGGCAGCUACCUGGUGACAGGAUGCUAAUCCCAAAAGCCUCUCUCAGUUCGGAUCGAAGUCUGCAACCCGACUUCGUGAAGCUGGAUUCGCUAGUAAUCGCGCAUCAGCCAUGGCGCGGUGAAUACGUUCCCGGGCCUUGUACACACCGCCCGUCAAGCCAUGAAAGCCGGGGGUACCUGAAGUACGUAACCGCAAGGAGCGUCCUAGGGUAAAC